GCGGAUUGGGCAUGCAUGCCUAUCACAAAAACAUAAGACACAUUGUUUACUUCUUGUAAUGAUCCAAUCUUUUAACCACCUAAAACAAAUUAUUUCUCUUCCGCAUGAAUCUCAAAGCAUGAAAAAAAAAAAACCCUCAGGUGUGCUGUGUGAGAGGAAGAAACAGAAGACACCCGACCUCUUCUCCGACUCCCUCAGAGAAAGGGUUGGAACAUUGCCAAAAAUAAGUGGGAUUUUGGUCUAUAAAUAGAGAGCCCCUCUUCAACCUUGUUUUCCACCACAAAUUGCUGGGACAGCACUGCCGAUUUGAGUCUUUCCCUCGAGUCCUUUUUCUUGGGAUUUCACCGAAGAGGUCGCCGGGUCUCUCACAUGGAUGUCAUCGAACAGAGAGUCUCCCUUAUUCUUAGAAUUUCUUCUUGUUCACCGACUGCUGGCGGCUGUGGCCACCAUUAAGGUCAUCUUUUGAUUAGGGCUAAGUGUGGGCUGUUGGUCAUCGACCUGGUUCCACAGUCAUGGCUGGGUCAAGAGAGGAAAAAUAACGGGGUUUCGGCUGCCUUGCUUAAAGAAGAAGGGGAACAAUCUUUCGGACAGGAGAUCUUCGAAUAGAUUCUUUAGCACCUGACUCAUAAAUUGGGGUGCGGAUCAAUACUAGGAUCAUUAAUUUGUUAUCAAUAGAAGGAUUCUUAGAUAUGAACACCGAUAUAUAUACAUGUAUUUAUUUUUGCACUACAUGAUUUGAUUUCUCAUGGCUGAUAUUUGUUUUAUAUAAUGGUUGGUAUGAUAAUUUAUAUAUUUUAUAUCA
Elaeis guineensis (African oil palm) is the source of this 802-nucleotide non-coding RNA. Lineage: Eukaryota; Viridiplantae; Streptophyta; Magnoliopsida; Arecales; Arecaceae. The record is from RefSeq and is a predicted model, not a curated record.